This is a long non-coding RNA of Austrofundulus limnaeus, 320 nucleotides long. RefSeq lists it as uncharacterized. Lineage: Eukaryota; Metazoa; Chordata; Actinopteri; Cyprinodontiformes; Rivulidae. The record is from RefSeq and is a predicted model, not a curated record. The transcript is spliced from 3 exons.
GUACAGGACACACUGAGCAUGCUCACACCUGGACAGGUAAAUCCUGUACAGGACACACUGAGCAUGCUCACACCUGGACAGGUAAAUCCACACAGGACACACUGAGCAUGCUCACACCUGGACAGGUAAAUCCUGUACAGGACACACUGAGCAUGCUCACACCUGUACAGGUAACAAACUGAUGAUAAAAACGACUUCAACACUAAAAAAGUCAGAAAUAAAGUUUCCUGUUUGUAACCUUUACAGAGCUUCUUCUGUAUUUUAUUCUGUCCUCACUGUCCUCUGUCCUCACUGCCCUCUGUCCUCUGUCCUCCCUGUCC